AAGAGAGCUAUCCAUCGACAGU
This 22-nucleotide microRNA is filed under the name Diachasmimorpha longicaudata. Its description in RNAcentral is "Dlo-Mir-281_5p (mature (co-guide))". Lineage: Eukaryota; Metazoa; Arthropoda; Insecta; Hymenoptera; Braconidae. The record is from RNAcentral. RNAcentral also lists the same sequence under 2 other names.